Molecule: long non-coding RNA, 5160 nt
Organism: Brassica napus (rape)
Lineage: Eukaryota; Viridiplantae; Streptophyta; Magnoliopsida; Brassicales; Brassicaceae
Exons: 2
Source: RefSeq, a predicted model, not a curated record
CUCAGAAUGUUCGGGCAAGGAUCGAUGAGCCAACUUUGGGCUAAAUCGAUGUGGAUCGGGUUGGACUGUGUGGAUCGGGCUCUAAUACAAUAUUAAGUUAGAUGAACUUCCAACCUAAAACUAAUUGGUGAUAAAUAGAUUUGACUAUCUAUCUUAUAUAUUAGUUAUGAUCCCUUUCAACUAUGGAUGUGGAACACUUUCUGUCUAAUAGAUUAUUCACGGUCGUUUUUUGCAAAAUUCAAAUAUGAAAUCAAGAUGCCAAUGACAAUAUCAACACCCAUAAUAAGCCAACCGUCUGAAAAGAUUUGUUGGUGUGAGUUUUGACUUUUGACUUUUGAGAUAUAUUAUAUAUUGACAUGAGUUUCAUCACCUUUUGUCUGUAAAUUUUUUUGGGCCAUUACAUUUUCCACUCUCACCAAGGUAGUAAUCUGAGUAGGUGUGAAUGAAAUAUCCAACCAUCUGCAUACCCUAGUUCAUGCACACGUAAUAGUCCAAAUUUAAAACAUUUGUAUGUGUGUAGACUCUUUCGGAAGCAUAUAUAUAGCUUAUCCCAGCUAAAACCAAACAUUAUUAAGCUAAUCUAUUACCAAUUUGGUAAAAAAAAGUAACCUGUUUAAAUUCCGUGUACAUCAUGUCUUCCUUAAGGUAAGAAUCGGUCUUUAUUUUAGGUAAAAGGUUUUCUUGGAAAAUGGAAAGGCAUGAGUGAUCAGGUCUCGCUUCGUAAUGAACCUACUGUUUUGUAGUCAUAGACAUUUUAUUUUGCUAAAGAUAUAACUAUUAAGCUAGAUGGACUUCCAACCUAAAACUAAUUGGUGAUAAGUAGAUUUGACUAUCUAUCUUAUAUAUUAGUUAUAAUCCAUUUCAACUACAGAUGUGGAACACUCUGUGUCGUUUUUUGCAAAAUUUGAAUAUGAAAACAAGACAACAAUGACAAUAUCAACACCCAUAAUAAGACAACUGUCUGAAAGAUUUGUUGGUGUGAGUUUUGACUUUUGACUUUUGAGAUAUAUUAUGUAUUGACAUGAGUUUCAUCAUGUUUUGUCUGUAGAAAUCUUUGGGCCAUUACAUUUUCCACUCUCACCAAGCUAGUAAUCUGAGUAGGUGUGAAUGAAAUAUGCAACCAUCUGCAUAUCCUAGUUCAUUCACACGUAAUAGUCCAAAUUUAAAACAUUUGUAUGUGUGUAGACUCUUCCGGAAGUAUAUAUAUAUAACUUAUCCCAGCUAGCUAAAACCAAACAUUAUUAAGCUAAUCCAUUACCAAUUUCGUAAAAAAAAGUAACCAGUUUAAAUUCCGUGUACAUCAUGUCUUCCUCAAGGUAAGAAUCGGUCUUUCUUUUGGGUAAAAGGUUUGCUUGGAAAAUGGAAAGCCAUGAGUGAUCAGGUCUCGCUUCUUAAUGAACCUACUGUUUUGUAGUCAUAGACAUUUUAUUUUGCUAAAGAUGUAAAUGUUAAGCUAGAUGGACUUCCAACCUAAGAAUAAUUGGUGAUAAGUAGAUAUUUGACUAUCUAUCUUAUAUAUUAGUUAUGAUCCCUUUUAACUACAGAUGUGGAACACUUUGUGUCUAAUAGAUUAUUCACGGUCGUUUUUUGCAAAAUUCGAAUAUGAAAUCAAGACGACAAUAACAAUAUCAACACCCAUAAUAAGACAACCGUCUGAAAGAUUUGUUGGUGUGAGUUUUGACUUUUGACUUUUGAGAUAUAUUAUAUAUUGACAUGAGUUUCAUACUUUCAUCACCUUUUGUCUGUAAAAAUCUUUGGGCCAUUACAUUUUCCACUAUCACCAAGCUAGUAAUCUGAGUAGGUGUGAAUGAAAUAUGCAACCAUCUGCAUACCCUAGUUCAUGAACACGUAAUAGUCCAAAUUUAAAACAUUUGUAUGUGUGUAGACUCUUUCGGAAGCAUAUAUAUAGCUUAUCCCAGCUAGCUAAAACCAAACAUUAUUAAGCUAAUUCAUUACCAAUUUGGUCAAAAAAAAAUAUCCAGUUUAAAUUCCGUGUACAUCAUGUCUUCCUCAAGGUAAGAAUCGGUCUUUCGUUUGGGUAAAAGGUUUGCUUGGAAAAUGGAAAGGCAUGAGUGAUCAGGUCUCGCUUCUUAAUGAACCUACUGUUUUGUAGUCAUAGACAAUUUAUUUUGCUAAAGAUGUAAAUAUUAAGCAAGAUGGACUUCCAACCUAAAACUAAUUGGUGAUAAGUAGAUUUGACUAUCUAUCUUAUAUGUUAGUUAUGAUCCCUUUCAACUAUAGACGUGGAACACUUUGUGUCUAAUAGAUUAUUCACGGUCGUUUUUUGCAAAAUUCGAAUAUGAAAUCAAGACGACAAUGGCAAUAUCAACACCCACAAUAAGACAAUCGUCUCAAAUAUUUGUUGGUGUGAGUUUCGACUUUUGACUUUUGAGAUAUAUUAUGUAUUGACAUGAAUUUCAUCACCUUUUGUCUGUAAAAAUCUUUGGGCCAUUACAUUUUCCACUCUCACCAAGCUAGUAAUCUGAGUAGGUGUGAAUGAAAUAUGCAACCAUCUGCAUACCCUAGUUCAUGCACACGUAAUAGUCCAAAUUUAAAACAUUUGUAUGUGUGUAGACUCUUUCGGAAGCAUAUAUAUAGCUUAUCCCAGCUAGCUAAAACCAAAAAUUAUUAAGCUAAUCCAUUACCAAUUUGGUAAAAAAAAAGUAAACACUUUAAAUUCCGUGUACAUCAUGUCUUCCUCAAGGUAAUAAUCGGUCUUUCUUUUUGGGUAAAAGGUUUGCUUGGAAAAUGGAAAGGCAUGAGUGAUCAGGUCUUGCUUCUUAACGAACCUACUGUUUUGUAGUCAUAGACAUUUUAUUUUGCUAAAGAUGUAAAUAUUAAGCAAGAUAGACUUCCAACCUAAAACUAAUUGGUGAUAAGUAGAUUUGACUAUCUAUCUUAUAUAUUAGUUAUGAUCCCUUUCAACUAUAGAUGUGGAACACUUUGUAUCUAAUAGAUUAUUCACGGUCGUUUUUUGCAAAAUUCGAAUAUGAAAUCAAGACGACAAUGACAAUAUCAACACCCACAAUAAAACAACCGUCUGAAAGAUUUGUUGGUGUGAGUUUUGACUUUUGACUUUUGAGAUAUCUUAUGUAUUGACAUGAGUUUCAUCACCUUUUGUCUGUAAAAAUCUUUGGGCCAUUACAUUUUCCACUCUCACCAAGCUAGUAAUCUGAGUAGGUGUGAAUGAAAUAUGCAACCAUCUGCAUACCCUAGUUCAUGCACACGUAAUAGUCCAAAUUUAAAACAUUUGUAUGUGUGCCAUUACAUUUUCCACUCUCACCAAGCUAGUAAUCUGAGUAGGUGUGAAUGAAAUAUGCAACCAUCUGCAUACCCUAGUUCAUGUACACGUAAUAGUCCAAAUUUAAAACAUUUGUAUGUGUGUAGACUCUUUCGGAAACAUAUAUAUAGCUUAUCCCAGCUAGCUAAAACCAAACAUUAUUAAGCUAAUCCAUUACCAAUUUGGUAAAAAAAUGUAACCAGUUUAAAUUCCGUGUACAUCAUGUCUUCCUCAAGGUAAGAAUCGGUCUUUCUUUUUGGUAAAAGGUUUGCUUGGAAAAUGGAAAGGCAUGAGUGAUCAGGUCUCGCUCCGUAAUGAACCUACUGUUUUGUAUUCAUAGACAUUUUAUUUUGCUAAAGGUGUAAAUAUUAAGCUAGAUGGACUUCCAACUUAAAACUAAUUGGUGAUAAGUAGAUUUGACUAUCUAUCGGUCGGUUUUUGCAAAAUUCGAAUAUGAAAUCAAGAUGACAAUGACAAUAUCAACACCCAUAAUAAGACAACCGUCUGAAAGAUUUGUUGGUGUGAGUUUUGACUUUUGACUUUUGACUUUUGAGAUAUAUUAUAUAUCUCAUGAGUUUCAUCACCUUUUGUCUGUAAAAAUAUUUGGGCCAUUACAUUUUCCACUCUCACCAAGCUAGUAAUCUGAGUAGGUGUGAAUGAAAUAUGCAACCAUCUGCAUACCCUAGUUAAUGCACACGUAAUAGUCCAAAUUAAAACAUUUGUAUGUGUGUAGACUUCGGAAGCAUAUAUAUAGCUUAUCCCAGCUAGCUAAAACCAAACAUUAUUAAACUAAUCCAUUACCAAUUUGGUAAAAAAAUAACCAGUUUAAAUUCCGUGUAGAUCAUGUCUUCCUCAAGGUAAGAAUCAAUCUUUCUUUUGGGUAAAAGGGUUUGCUUGGAAAAUGGAAAGGCAUGAGUGAUCAGGUCUCGCUUCUUAAUGAACCUACUGUUUUGUAGGCAUAGACAUUUUAUUUUGCUAAAGAUGUAAAUGUCAUCACUGAGUGUGAAGGCUUGCUACAACUGGCUUGUAUCCAGUCUGUUUAAGUCCGCAAAAAGCAAAUUUGAACCUAAAACCGCAAUUAUGAUAUAAAUGAUUUUUAGGCUCCAAAAUAGGUCUAAACUAUUCUCAAACAUUGAAACACCUUAAGCUAAAGAGAAACAGAGCAAUGGCAUCAAUUAGUUUCCAAAACCCAAGCACAGCUUAGUUCUAGAUCUGUUUUAAUAAUUAUUUUAACUGAAUAUGAUUUCUUAAAACAUUUGAUGUUUGGAAUAAAUCUAGACUGUGGUCGAUCCAUGUUCGUUCGCUGCUAAAAUUUGGAUUAAUAUAUAUCAGUGUGUGACUUUUUUUGGUAACUCAUUCCGUAUUGAGGUCAGUUAAUUUGGCCAUUUUUUUCCAAAAUUAUAUUUUUGAAAGAAAACUAACCAUUGUUUGCUUAUUGCUAUACUUCUUUUGAAUUUUAUGUGAUUAAAUUAAAUUGGUGUAAACUAAGGGAAUCUUUGGUGAACGCUAUUAGCAUGGACGGGGGUACUGGUGAACACAGUUACGCUUCUAAUGCCCAUUAUCAGGUACCAAGACACUCUAUGACGACCCCGUCCCUACUCCUAGCUGAGUAAUCGUCCUCCUAGUAUGGCUGCAAAUUUUAAUCGGAAUUCGCUGCAGGGGUUGGAUUAAAAAAAAAAAGAUCCAAUCUGUUGGUUAACGGAUCAAGCAUGACGAAUUUGACCUCUUCCCAGCUCUACCGCCUGGGCUCUCAACGUUAGAGCAAUGUGGUGAAUAAGAGCAAUUUGGUUAACUUAAUCGGAUCACCAUAUCCCCGACUAUUUUUAUAUUGUUUGUAUAUCAAGUCAUCUUAAUAAAAUAUGAAAAUAUUAGACACAAAA